This 484-nucleotide ribosomal RNA is filed under the name uncultured bacterium. Its description in RNAcentral is "partial 16S ribosomal RNA". It matches the Rfam family "Bacterial small subunit ribosomal RNA", at positions 29 to 507 of the family's 1533-position model. The record is from RNAcentral.
AUUGAACGCUGACGGCAUGCUUUACACAUGCAAGUCGAACGGCAGCGCGGGCUUCGGCCUGGCGGCGAGUGGCGAACGGGUGAGUAAUACAUCGGAACGUGCCCAGUAGUGGGGGAUAGCUCGGCGAAAGCCGGAUUAAUACCGCAUACGACCUGAGGGUGAAAGCGGGGGAUCUUCGGACCUCGCGCUAUUGGAGCGGCCGAUGGCAGAUUAGCUAGUUGGUGGGGUAAAGGCCUACCAAGGCGACGAUCUGUAGCUGGUCUGAGAGGACGACCAGCCACACUGGGACUGAGACACGGCCCAGACUCCUACGGGAGGCAGCAGUGGGGAGUUUUGGACAAUGGGCGAAAGCCUGAUCCAGCAAUGCCGCGUGUGUGAUGAAGGCCUUCGGGUUGUAAAGCACUUUUGGCGGGAACGAAAAGGACUGUGCCAAUACCACGGUUCGAUGACGGUACCCGCAGAAUAAGCACCGGCUAACUACGUG